Molecule: non-coding RNA, 3027 nt
Organism: Peromyscus maniculatus bairdii (prairie deer mouse)
Lineage: Eukaryota; Metazoa; Chordata; Mammalia; Rodentia; Cricetidae
Source: RefSeq, a predicted model, not a curated record
UUUAACCCUGAUCAAUGUUUGUCCUUCUGUCAGGAUGGACAGGACAGUGGAGAUGUUGAACUUUCUGCAGGGGGUGGGGAACCUCUGGUGUCCUGUCGAAGAACAGCAGUAUGACCAGUAUCCCACCUGCUCCCCGGUUCCCCGUGCAGCCCAGCCAGGGGUCUGGAAGUUUCUUCAAGAGUCAGAGAGCAAGUGCCUGAGGCCUGUAAGACCAAAACAUUGCAACCACCCGCCUAAGCAGUGGGUCCCAUAGCAGCCAGGGUGGAUGUGGCUGCAUUCCAAUACAGCCUCAUUCAUUGGUGCUGCUUGUGUGUGCAUGGUGUAGGACUACCCUCUGCAACAUGGGUUAGCCUCGGGGCAUGAAGAAAACCAACUGUCUCUCCCUCCAUUAUCAAUCACCAAUAACUCCUCAGAUGGGGUGGGAUUUGUGAGCUCCUGCCCUGUUCACGCUGGAAAUUUGGCUGGCUUGAAAAAAAAAAGAGAGCACAUGAAGUUGGGUAUGAAAAAGUGGAGGGGGUAAGGGAGAAAUUGAAUUGGAGGGGAGAGGAAGGGGCGGAUUUGGUCAAAACACAUUACACACAUGUAGAAAAUUCUCAAGUAAUUAAAAAGAGUCACUCCUUAGGUCAGAAAAAUCAAUCAAUAAAUCUUUUUAAAAGAUUUCAGAGACAAAACAUCACAUGGUUUUGUUUUUCAUAUGUUGAUAACUAAAAAUGGUUCAUUGCAGAUAUAUAUUUAUAUUGGUGGGCAAAUCUGUCCAUGGACUCUCAGAGGUUAGAGAGGAAGGGAAAAAAAAACAACUAUUUACAGAAUCUUACCAUGUCCUGACUACAAUGUUUUGUUCAUAUUCUGUCUUCUGGUAAAGGAAUGUCUUUGUCAAGAAUGUGUGUGUGUGUGUGUGUGUGUGUGUGUGUGUGUGUGUGUGUGUGUGUGUGUGUGUAUGCUUCAUUCACAUUCCCAAAGCAGGGUAUGGGGCCCAGAGACUGUAGCUUGCUGACCCUGGCUUGGCAGAUGGGCAGGUGCAUUUCAGCAAAUGUAUAUGUAAGUAUGGGGGGAGAUUUCACCACAUCCUCCCUCACUGAGAGCCUGCAUGGAGACAAGGAGACCUCCACCUCACUUCAUGCACUCACUGAGACACUGAAUGGAGACUGGCGCCCCUCAAUAUCCCCUUCAUGCAGUUACCCACAUGACUAUACCCUCUCACAGGUCAUACUCACAUUCACACAUUAACUCUCACACUCAUGAUCACACACAGACUCACUCAAGUCACACUCACAGAACUCAAACACACACACACACACACACACACACACACACACACACACCACAGACUCACUCGAGUUACACUCACAGAACUCACACACACACCCCUCACACUGAUGCACUGACUCAUAUAUGUUCCACACAUUCAUAUACAAAUUCUCACACUCUUGCAUAUGUGCCAACUCUCUCUAACUCUCACACUCAGGCACUUGCACAACCACACAUUUCUCUCAUACACAAGCAUGUUAACUUCUAUAUUCACACCAGCUUUUACACACACAUCAAUUCAAACUCAUUCUUACACUCACAUAGCCUCCAGCUCACCUGCUGUGAACAUGCUGAGUUCUGAUCUUUUGGACAUAGGGAUUCCCGCCCCCCCACCACCACCCCGUCAGAAAUCUCUUGAGUCAAGUUCACACUCAUAACCAACCAGCUCUCACAGAGCUCUCUCUGCUUGCCAGGUCAACAUUCAGAAAGAAUGAACGAAAACUCGGGGCCGGGUAGUGGUGGCGUAUGCCUUUAAUCCCAGCACUUGGGAGGCAGAGGCAGGUGGAUCUCUGUGAGUUCAAGGCCAGCCUGGUCUACAGAGUGAGUUCCAGGACAGGCUCCAAAGCUACACAGAGAAACCCUGUCUCAAUAACAACAACAAAACAACAAUAACAAAGAAAAAGAAAAAAGAAAACUCGGGUUCCUAAAGAGGAGGAGCCAGCCUAAACUUAGGGUCCUGCAGAUACGUCUGAGCGCCUAACACCGUGGUCUUCCUGCCUGGGAUGUUUGUCCCCCUUCUUGGCUCUGCUCCCUCUUGGAAUUCUGGGAACUGUCCUUUACUGGAACUUCUGCACGCUUUUGGAUGACCUUCUUCAGGCCAAGGGCACCUCCUUCAGGCCAUGUGCGCUGCUCGCUCCUGUCAACAGCUCUAAGAGGCACUGUUCUGUGGCAUCCAGGCUGGAGUGACAACUGAGAGCAAAGAGUUCAUCUCCCUGACAGCCAGUAUAAAUGUACGUCUGCAAUCAACAAUAUUUAGUUAUCAACACAUAAAAAGCAAAGAACACACAACAUUUUGUCUUUAGAGUCUUUUAAAGAUUUAUUGACCUUUCUAAUCUAAAGGAGUGACUUUUAUUAUUUGAGGAUUUUAUACACAAAUGUAAUGUGCUUUGAUCAAAUCCAUCCUUUCUCUCCUCCCCCAAUUUCUCCCUUAUUCCCUCUCCAGCUUUAGCUGGAGGGGAGAACUAACCGUGUCUAUUAGCCAGCCGACGGCUGAGCGGUUCUGCAGAGGGCGAGGGUCCGAACUCAAGCUGCCCUCCACAGGCCAGGGGCAUCUGCAUGGCAGACAUUGGUCUUUGUCAGGUGCAUGUCUCCAGAAACAGUCCCACCAAGCAGCCCAUAAUGAGACCGCCGGACCUGGGUGUCUGUUUUGGUGGGUGGUGAUAAGUACCACAGGCCAAUGUCCUGACCACCUGUGGAGCAUGGCACAGUUUCUUCACCUGUCCUUGGGCCCAGGACACAAGGCACUCAGACAUGAAAUGUGGACACACAUGCCAGACUCAGCAUGGGAGAGAGGACGGCGGAAGACCUGAAAUCCAGUUAGGAAAAGGAAACACCAAUCUGGACUUCUUUUCUGAACAGCGGUAUCACAUCCUGACUUAGGGUCCCAGGGUAGACAUCAGGGGCCCAAGGGGAUGAGUUAGAGGGAGGAGGUGGAAUAAUGUAAACACAGUAUUUAUACGUAAAAUUCUAAAAAAAUAAAAAUAAAAAUUGCUAAAAGAC